GCCGACGUGGCGGAACUGGAAGACGCGCUUGGCUUAAAUCCAGGUGUCCGGCAACGGGCGUGGGGGUUCGAAUCCCUCCGUCGGCACCA
This 89-nucleotide transfer RNA is filed under the name Planctomycetota bacterium. RNAcentral's name for it is "Planctomycetes bacterium (groundwater metagenome) tRNA-Leu". It matches the Rfam family "tRNA". Rfam says of the family: Transfer RNA (tRNA) molecules are approximately 80 nucleotides in length. Their secondary structure includes four short double-helical elements and three loops (D, anti-codon, and T loops). The record is from RNAcentral. Lineage: Bacteria; Pseudomonadati; Planctomycetota.